Molecule: non-coding RNA, 45 nt
Filed under: Trichobilharzia regenti
Lineage: Eukaryota; Metazoa; Platyhelminthes; Trematoda; Strigeidida; Schistosomatidae
Source: RNAcentral
AUGCAGCUGACGAGUCUCAAAUAGGACGAAAUGUGCAUCUUGGAU